RNAcentral lists this ribosomal RNA (729 nucleotides) under uncultured eukaryote. Its description in RNAcentral is "SSU rRNA". It matches the Rfam family "Eukaryotic small subunit ribosomal RNA", at positions 670 to 1426 of the family's 1831-position model. The record is from RNAcentral.
CGGGUGCACUGAUCCGGCCGGGCCUUUCCCUCUGUGGAACCCCAUGGCCUUCACUGGCUGUGCGGGGGAAACAGGACUUUUACUGUGAAAAAAUUAGAGUGCUCCAGGCAGGCCUAUGCUCGAAUACAUUAGCAUGGAAUAAUAGAAUAGGACGCGUGGUUCUAUUUUGUUGGUUUCUAGGACCGCCGUAAUGAUUAAUAGGGACAGUCGGGGGCAUCAGUAUUCAAUUGUCAGAGGUGAAAUUCUUGGAUCUAUUGAAGACUAACUACUGCGAAAGCAUUUGCCAAGGAUGUUUUCAUUGAUAAGGAACGAAAGUUAGGGGAUCGAAGACGAUCAGAUACCGUCGUAGUCUUAACUAUAAACUAUGCCGACUAGGGAUCGGACGAUGUUAUUUCUUGACGCGUUCGGCACCUUUCGAGAAAUCAAAGUGCUUGGGCUCCAGGGGGAGUAUGGUCGCAAGGCUGAAACUUAAAGAAAUUGACGGAAGGGCACCACCAGGGGUGGAACCUGCGGCUUAAUUUGACUCAACACGGGGAAACUCACCAGGUCCAGACACAGUGAGGAUUGACAGAUUGAGAGCUCUUUCUUGAUUCUGUGGGUGGUGGUGCAUGGCCGUUCUUAGUUGGUGGAGUGAUUUGUCUGGUUAAUUGCGAUAACGAACGAGACCUUAACCUGCUAAAUAGCCCGUACUGCUCUGGCAGUUCGCCGGCUUCUUAGAGGGACUAUCGG